UUUUUGGCUAUUAUCAUCUUAUAUCAGAACUUCCUUUCUGUCUUACUCCAUAAGAACAGACAUAAUAACUCU
This is a non-coding RNA of Pangasianodon gigas (Mekong giant catfish), 72 nucleotides long. The record is from the annotation of a GenBank genome assembly. NCBI's taxonomy places the organism in Eukaryota, Metazoa, Chordata, Actinopteri, Siluriformes, Pangasiidae.